GACGAACGCUGGCGGCGUGCCUAAUACAUGCAAGUAGAACGCACAGUUUAUACCGUAGCUUGCUACACCAUAGACUGUGAGUUGCGAACGGGUGAGUAACGCGUAGGUAACCUGCCUGGUAGCGGGGGAUAACUAUUGGAAACGAUAGCUAAUACCGCAUAAUAUUAAUUAUUGCAUGAUAAUUGAUUGAAAGAUGCAACUGCAUCACUACCAGAUGGACCUGCGUUGUAUUAGCUAGUAGGUGAGGUAACGGCUCACCUAGGCGACGAUACAUAGCCGACCUGAGAGGGUGAUCGGCCACACUGGGACUGAGACACGGCCCAGACUCCUACGGGAGGCAGCAGUAGGGAAUCUUCGGCAAUGGACGAAAGUCUGACCGAGCAACGCCGCGUGAGUGAAGAAGGUUUUCGGAUCGUAAAGCUCUGUUGUAAGAGAAGAACGGGUGUGAGAGUGGAAAGUUCACACUGUGACGGUAUCUCACCAGAAAGGGACGGCUAACUACGUG
RNAcentral lists this ribosomal RNA (505 nucleotides) under uncultured bacterium. Its description in RNAcentral is "partial 16S ribosomal RNA". It matches the Rfam family "Bacterial small subunit ribosomal RNA", at positions 28 to 507 of the family's 1533-position model. The record is from RNAcentral.